GCAGGUUAAAUGGCUUUCGGUGCCAUUCUGGGGCUUCCAACCCCUCAGAGCCGGUUCGAGUCCGGCUACCUGUGC
RNAcentral lists this transfer RNA (75 nucleotides) under Bacteroidia bacterium. Its description in RNAcentral is "tRNA-Gly". Lineage: Bacteria; Pseudomonadati; Bacteroidota; Bacteroidia. The record is from RNAcentral.